This 257-nucleotide ribosomal RNA is filed under the name uncultured bacterium. RNAcentral describes it as "partial 16S ribosomal RNA". The record is from RNAcentral.
GACAGAAGGGGUUAGUGUUAUUUUUCAUAAAUGGGUGUAAAAUGUGUGUAGGCAACAAUUUGAAACUUCUUUUUAAAUCUUUAUGAUGUAAAAACUUAAGUUUAGUUUAAUUGUCGAGUAAUUUUGAUAUAAGUAACUUUCAAUUUCUUGUAGAUGCAAGGAUAAAAUUUGAGUAAGACAGGAAGGAAAACCAAUUGCGAAGGCAUAGUUCUAGGUAAAAUUACAGCUGAGACACGAAAACAUGGGGAGCAAAAAGG